UAGUUUUAUUAGUAAUUUAACUUAAAUGUUAAACACUUUUAAAUUAUAUUAUAAAAAAUAAAUUAUCAACUUUAACUUUGGAUAUAUAUAUAUAUGAAUGAAUGAAUAUACAAUGAAUCAAUCCUAAUUCCUAUCGUAAUUGAGUUUAUAGACGCUUUGACAUGAAUGUUAGGUAUCCAACUACUAAUUUAUGCUCUGACUGAUAGAUAGUUAAAAACUUUAAUAGAGUUUAUCUCCUGUCCUCUACAAAUAGCAAUUGUUUUGAUUCAUUGAAUCACAAAUUAUAUUUCCACGAGAUAAAUGCUAGUGCGGUUCAUAGGCUGAGAAAGCUACUAUUGUAAGAAAUAUGCACAACCCACCUCCACCAAAAGGCCCAGGCCCUCAUCACCACCCUGGGCCACCGGGUCCACAUCCUGGACCUGCUCAUCAUCCGCAUGGCCCGCCAGCAGGUCCAGCACCUCCACCUGGUCCUCAAGCACCUCCACCCGGUGGUCCUCCUGGUGCUGGGCCACAUGGCCACCCUCCAAACCACCGCUGAUUAAUCAUAGCAUAUGCUUAUGGGCUUGGUGCGCCAAUCUUAUAUGGCGAAUAAUAAUAACUUAGCUUGAUAUAUAUGGGGGGUGUAUUAUUGAAUCUAGCUGCCUAUGUGUGGUUAUUAUGCUUUUUGUGGCGUGUAUGUAAUCUGCUAGAACAAUAAAUCGAAAGAUAAAUGUCUUCCUUUUGUUUUUAAUUAAAAAAAGUUUAUAUAAGUUGAAUUUUGUGAGCUCAUUAUCAGAAUUAGGGCAUGUCUCCAGCUUCAAUUAAUUUAUGUAUAUAUUUCUUUUAAUAAAAGAUAAAUGUUUUCUAUCUGUUA
Molecule: long non-coding RNA, 853 nt
Filed under: Cicer arietinum (chickpea)
Lineage: Eukaryota; Viridiplantae; Streptophyta; Magnoliopsida; Fabales; Fabaceae
Description: long non-coding RNA (CARI_LNC002205)
Source: RNAcentral